UUUCUGAUAGCUCAAUGGUAGAGCGUAUGACUGUUAAUCAUACGGUUAUUGGUUCAAAUCCAAUUUGGAAAG
This 72-nucleotide transfer RNA is filed under the name Chrysochromulina parva. Its description in RNAcentral is "tRNA-Asn". It matches the Rfam family "tRNA". Rfam says of the family: Transfer RNA (tRNA) molecules are approximately 80 nucleotides in length. Their secondary structure includes four short double-helical elements and three loops (D, anti-codon, and T loops). The record is from RNAcentral. Lineage: Eukaryota; Haptophyta; Prymnesiales; Chrysochromulinaceae. RNAcentral also lists the same sequence under 1 other name.